Molecule: long non-coding RNA, 324 nt
Organism: Anoplophora glabripennis (Asian longhorned beetle)
Lineage: Eukaryota; Metazoa; Arthropoda; Insecta; Coleoptera; Cerambycidae
Exons: 3
Source: RefSeq, a predicted model, not a curated record
UAUAUAAUGAUAAGACGACUAGAACUAACAUGAAAUCGCUAUCGGUUUAUUGGAAUGCAGGAAGUUGCCAAAGCCAUCACUAGAUAGACAGACUGCUGCUACUAUAUACAUAUAAACCAUAUCUUAAACUAGACGUCUUCACCACUCAACCAACAUGACUCGAUAGAUAUAUGGAAAAGAAACGAGAUAUCUUUUUAUAUUUAUUUAUGGUCAUAAGGAAUAUGCCCUCUCUUGAUUUCGUUGGUAGUUUUGGGAUGUUUAAUAGAUCAGGCCUGGUGAUGCUCUGCUGUGCAUGCAGUGCAUUUGGGGAGAAAAUUCCUUUUA